RNAcentral lists this ribosomal RNA (428 nucleotides) under Verrucomicrobiota bacterium. RNAcentral describes it as "Verrucomicrobia bacterium partial 16S ribosomal RNA". It matches the Rfam family "Bacterial small subunit ribosomal RNA", at positions 355 to 776 of the family's 1533-position model. The record is from RNAcentral. Lineage: Bacteria; Pseudomonadati; Verrucomicrobiota.
UGGGGAAUUGUUCGCAAUGGGCGCAAGCCUGACGACGCAACGCCGCGUGGAGGAUGAAGGUCUUCGGAUUGUAAACUCCUGUUGCCCGGGACGAAAAGCUUCGACCUAACACGUCGAAGUCUGACGGUACCGGGUGAGGAAGCCCCGGCUAACUCUGUGCCAGCAGCCGCGGUAAUACAGAGGGGGCAAGCGUUGUUCGGAAUUACUGGGCGUAAAGGGCGCGUAGGCGGCCUGUUAAGUCGAACGUGAAAUCCCCGGGCUCAACCCGGGAACUGCGUCCGAUACUGGCAGGCUUGAAUCCGGGAGAGGGAUGUGGAAUUCCAGGUGUAGCGGUGAAAUGCGUAGAUAUCUGGAGGAACACCGGUGGCGAAGGCGGCAUCCUGGACCGGUAUUGACGCUGAGGCGCGAAAGCCAGGGGAGCAAACGGG